CUCUCUUGCUUCUGUUCCUGCUGUGGAAGACACCUUGCUCCCCCUUUGCCUUCCAUCAUGAUUGAAAGCUCUGUGAGGACUCUCCAGAAACAGAAGCCACUAUGCUUUCUGUACAGCCUGUGGAACUCCAUGUUCCUGCUCUCUUGUUCACUUUUCACCACGAUUGUAAGUUUCCUGAGACCUCGCCAGAAUCAGAAGCCACUGUGUUUCCUGUACAGCUUGCAGAACUGUGAGCCAAUUAAACCUCAUUCCUUUAUAAAUUA
Molecule: long non-coding RNA, 263 nt
Organism: Homo sapiens (human)
Lineage: Eukaryota; Metazoa; Chordata; Mammalia; Primates; Hominidae
Exons: 2
Source: RefSeq, a predicted model, not a curated record